This 350-nucleotide ribosomal RNA is filed under the name uncultured bacterium. RNAcentral describes it as "bacterial SSU rRNA". It matches the Rfam family "Bacterial small subunit ribosomal RNA", at positions 37 to 388 of the family's 1533-position model. The record is from RNAcentral.
UGGCGGCAUGCUUUACACAUGCAAGUCGUGCGGCAGCGCGGGGGCAACCCUGGCGGCGAGCGGCGAACGGGUGAGUAAUGCAUCGGAACGUACCCCGUAGUGGGGGAUAACGCCGGGAAACCGGCGCUAAUACCGCAUAUGCUCUACGGAGGAAAGCGGGGGACCGCAAGGCCUCGCGCCUAUGGGAGCGGCCGAUGCCCGAUUAGCUUGUUGGUGAGGUAAAGGCUUACCAAGGCGACGAUCGGUANCUGGUCUGACAGGAUGAUCAGCCACACUGGGACUGAGACACGGCCCAUACUCCUACGGGAGGCAGCAGUGGGGAAUCUUGGACAAUGGGGGAAACCCUGAUC